GAGGGUAUAGCUCAGUGGUAGAGCGUGCUUAGCAUGCACAAAGUCUUGGGUUCAAUCCCCAGUACCUCCA
This 70-nucleotide transfer RNA is filed under the name Camelus bactrianus (Bactrian camel). It matches the Rfam family "tRNA". From Rfam's summary of the family: Transfer RNA (tRNA) molecules are approximately 80 nucleotides in length. Their secondary structure includes four short double-helical elements and three loops (D, anti-codon, and T loops). Further hydrogen bonds mediate the characteristic L-shaped molecular structure. tRNAs have two regions of fundamental functional importance: the anti-codon, which is responsible for specific mRNA codon recognition, and the 3' end, to which the tRNAs corresponding amino acid is attached (by aminoacyl-tRNA synthetases). tRNAs cope with the degeneracy of the genetic code in two manners: having more than one tRNA (with a specific anti-codon) for a particular amino acid; and 'wobble' base-pairing, i.e. permitting non-standard base-pairing at the 3rd anti-codon position. RNAcentral also lists the same sequence under 2 other names. The record is from Rfam by way of RNAcentral. Lineage: Eukaryota; Metazoa; Chordata; Mammalia; Artiodactyla; Camelidae.